Molecule: ribosomal RNA, 250 nt
Filed under: uncultured bacterium
Lineage: Bacteria
Description: partial 16S ribosomal RNA
Rfam family: Bacterial small subunit ribosomal RNA
Source: RNAcentral
UACGAAGGGGGCGAGCGUUGUUCGGAAUUACUGGGCGUAAAGGGCGCGUAGGCGGCGACUCAAGUUAGAUGUGAAAGUCCUGGGCUUAACCUGGGGACUGCAUUUGAUACUGGGUUGCUUGAAUUCGGGAGAGGAUAGCGGAAUUCCCAGUGUAGAGGUGAAAUUCGUAGAUAUUGGGAAGAACACCGGUGGCGAAGGCGGCUAUCUGGACCGACAUUGACGCUGAGGCGCGAAAGCGUGGGGAGCAAAC